This 628-nucleotide long non-coding RNA is filed under the name Equus caballus (horse). RNAcentral's name for it is "lncRNA (ENSECAG00000036096.2)". The record is from RNAcentral. Lineage: Eukaryota; Metazoa; Chordata; Mammalia; Perissodactyla; Equidae.
AAAGUGGCAAGGGCUGGCUCUCAGCAGUCACAGCUUGGUUUACAAAGCGUGAAGGAGGAAGUACAUUGUUUUCUUGUGAUUGGUUCCUAGAAGCUCACAUUCCUCUCGGAGUAGUAGCACUGCAAACUCUCACUUGUUUGUAGCUCAUUGGAGAGGAAGCUGCAAGAUCAGGCUGACAUGAAGAAAGCUUAAGUUUUGUUUAAGACUAGUGAAUUCUUGCCUGCAAAGGUGAGUGAACCUUUCUUCCAGCCACCCUUCCACUUUCUGAUCUCAAAUGGAUUGGCAUCGCUUUUACCAGGAGAGAAUAACUACAAGAAACUACUAAUUUACAAAAUGUGCAGAUGACCCAGUUUAUUCAUAACCAUAGGAGUUUUAAUUUAUUAAGCAACAAUUUAAUAUAAGCAGUGCCUAGUAAUUCGAGUUUGCCGUGUUUUGUACGAGAAUAAUGUAUUACUUAAUGAGGAAGAUAAAUCUAUUAUUGGAAAAUUUUAAUAAUGAACAAAAUUAUGUUUGGGUAUUUUCAUGGGAAGUAAUUAGUUGUAAAGUGUUCUUCCCUGAAGUGUGGCAGUAUUGGUGGCAAUUGUUAUUUAGUGGUGAAUUCCCUACUAAACCACCUACCCAUGUCUUG